RNAcentral lists this ribosomal RNA (440 nucleotides) under Cereibacter sphaeroides. Its description in RNAcentral is "bacterial SSU rRNA". It matches the Rfam family "Bacterial small subunit ribosomal RNA", at positions 19 to 504 of the family's 1533-position model. The record is from RNAcentral. Lineage: Bacteria; Pseudomonadati; Pseudomonadota; Alphaproteobacteria; Rhodobacterales; Paracoccaceae.
CUGGCUCAGAAUGAACGCUGGCGGCAGGCCUAACACAUGCAAGUCGAGCGAAGUCUUCGGACUUAGCGGCGGACGGGUGAGUAACGCGUGGGAACGUGCCCUUUGCUUCGGAAUAGCCCCGGGAAACUGGGAGUAAUACCGAAUGUGCCCUACGGGGGAAAGAUUUAUCGGCAAAGGAUCGGCCCGCGUUGGAUUAGGUAGUUGGUGGGGUAAUGGCCUACCAAGCCGACGAUCCAUAGCUGGUUUGAGAGGAUGAUCANGCCACACUGGGACUGAGACACGGCCCAGACUCCUACGGGAGGCAGCAGUGGGGAAUCUUAGACAAUGGGCGCAAGCCUGAUCUAGCCAUGCCGCGUGAUCGAUGAAGGCCUUAGGGUUGUAAAGAUCUUUCAGGUGGGAAGAUAAUGACGGUACCACCAGAAGAAGCCCCGGCUAAUACC